Mya arenaria is the source of this 746-nucleotide long non-coding RNA. RefSeq lists it as uncharacterized. Lineage: Eukaryota; Metazoa; Mollusca; Bivalvia; Myida; Myidae. The record is from RefSeq and is a predicted model, not a curated record. The transcript is spliced from 2 exons.
UAAUACUCAAUACAUUGUUAUGAAAGGUUAUCGAUUACUAGUAUAUUGAAAUAUGAUACCACUUCCUCUUAUCGACGUGGCUCUUUGAAUUCGAAAGUAGGCAUAUACGUUAUGGCUGUGACAUGGGAAUGGCAAGAGAGAUACCCGGAUAGGUGGCGGUCGUAGCCAAGGGAUAUAUCAGAUUUUUUGGAAGUGAGUCAAGACUCAGAUGAACUACUAGACCUUGGAUUGAUUAAUACACGAUUUGAACCGUAUUGGAUAGACAUGAGACGGAUGGCUCAGAUUCGUAAAGACACGGAAAAAAUGCGGAAAAUACGUCGCCGAGGUGAAAUUCGGCCAGAAGAGAAAGGCAGUCCUCUACAUUCGGAGUCAUCAUCCCGUAUGCCCUUCAUCAAUAACAUCAUCAACAUCAACACAACAGACCGCAGACCACACACGCAGGACCAGCAUGGCAGGAAUCCCACAACAAACUCCAUGUUUGCGCAAAUGAAUCGUUGGCAAUGUUGGAUUGUUCUUAUAGUUUUGUUUCUGGGGUUAUAUUUGUUCAGGGAUGAUGUCCGUGCUAUUCUCGGGACUAUUAUUCAAUUGGCGAGUAUUUUUCUGAUGUUAAUGACGUAUAAAUUUAUAAUGUUUUUGUGUCGGUAUUUUAAAUGAUUUUUUAUAAUAACCUCAAUGUGUGAUCGAGAAGGUAUAUUUGUACUAUAUGUUGUGUGUUUUGUGGGAAUACAAACAGUUCUAUUAAACUA